ACCUGUGUGGCUCACACUAUGUUUCAGUGGGACAAUGCUGCUGUAGAUCUUGAUUAGGGUGUUGGUUGCACAUUUGCCAAAACUCAUCAGGAAUAUCUUAUGGAUAUAAGAUCUGUCCAUUUCACCAUAUGUAGAUUAUACCGAGCCUGGCAUUCACACAGGACUCACCAGCCUCCACGCUGACAAAAUUAACUUCCGUUUAAAACUAC
This 209-nucleotide long non-coding RNA is filed under the name Pan troglodytes (chimpanzee). RNAcentral's name for it is "long non-coding RNA NONPTRT000190". Lineage: Eukaryota; Metazoa; Chordata; Mammalia; Primates; Hominidae. The record is from RNAcentral.